GCCAGAGUGGCGAAAUUGGUAGACGCAGCGGAUUCAAAAUCCGCCGGUAGCAAUACUGUGCCGGUUCAAGUCCGGCCUCUGGUACCA
This 87-nucleotide transfer RNA is filed under the name Alteromonas marina. Its description in RNAcentral is "tRNA-Leu". It matches the Rfam family "tRNA". From Rfam's summary of the family: Transfer RNA (tRNA) molecules are approximately 80 nucleotides in length. RNAcentral also lists the same sequence under 12 other names. The record is from RNAcentral. Lineage: Bacteria; Pseudomonadati; Pseudomonadota; Gammaproteobacteria; Alteromonadales; Alteromonadaceae.